AUACGGAGGGGGCUAGCGUUGUUCGGAAUUACUGGGCGUAAAGCGCACGUAGGCGGACUGGUCAGUUGGGGGUGAAAUCCCAGGGCUUAACCCUGGAACUGCCUUCAAUACUACCAGUCUUGAGACCGAGAGAGGUGAGUGGAAUUCCUAGUGUAGAGGUGAAAUUCGUAGAUAUUAGGAAGAACACCAGUGGCGAAGGCGGCUCACUGGCUCGGUACUGACGCUGAGGUGCGAAAGCGUGGGGAGCAAACAGGAUUAGAAACCCCAGUAGUCC
This 274-nucleotide ribosomal RNA is filed under the name uncultured bacterium. Its description in RNAcentral is "partial 16S ribosomal RNA". It matches the Rfam family "Bacterial small subunit ribosomal RNA", at positions 523 to 796 of the family's 1533-position model. The record is from RNAcentral.